AGAAACUGGUUUUCUCUCUUAGGCAUUUUAUCGAACAGUUUCAACCAAUUGCUUUUGAGUUUAAAUUUCGAUGCCAAUGCAACUUAUUUCUGUUUCUUGCUUUCUUAUUCCUUUCUAGGGCACAUCUUAGGUUCCUUUUGCGUUCACCCCUGUUUGCUAGCUUAUUGUUUUUGCUUAAUUUGAAUUCUUGGCAAUCUAGCACUACAAUUGCUUGAUGAAAUGUCCGCGUAGUGCUCUCUAUUUUGGUUUCCUCGUG
RNAcentral lists this long non-coding RNA (256 nucleotides) under Vigna radiata. Its description in RNAcentral is "long non-coding RNA (VRAD_LNC014647)". The record is from RNAcentral. Lineage: Eukaryota; Viridiplantae; Streptophyta; Magnoliopsida; Fabales; Fabaceae.